CAGCAGCCACGGUAAUACGUAGGGUGCGAGCGUUGUCCGGAAUUACUGGGCGUAAAGAGCUCGUAGGCGGUUUGUCGCGUCGUCUGUGAAAUUCUGCAGCUUAACUGCAGGCGUGCAGGCGAUACGGGCAGACUUGAGUACUACAGGGGAGACUGGAAUUCCUGGUGUAGCGGUGAAAUGCGCAGAUAUCAGGAGGAACACCGGUGGCGAAGGCGGGUCUCUGGGUAGUAACUGACGCUGAGGAGCGAAAGCGUGGGUAGCGAACAGGAUUAGAUACCCGAGUAGUCCCUGUCUCUUAUAC
This 301-nucleotide ribosomal RNA is filed under the name uncultured bacterium. Its description in RNAcentral is "partial 16S ribosomal RNA". It matches the Rfam family "Bacterial small subunit ribosomal RNA", at positions 509 to 807 of the family's 1533-position model. The record is from RNAcentral.